AACUACGUGCCAGCAGCCGCGGUAAUACGUAGGGGGCGAGCGUUAUCCGGAUUCAUUGGGCGUAAAGCGCGCGUAGGCGGCCGCCUAAGCGGGACCUCUAACCCCGGGGCUCAACCCCGGGCCGGGUCCCGGACUGGGCGGCUCGAGUGCGGUAGAGGAGAGCGGAAUUCCCGGUGUAGCGGUGGAAUGCGCAGAUAUCGGGAAGAGCACCGAUGGCGAAGGCAGCUCUCUGGGCCGUCACUGACGCUGAGGCGCGAAAGCUGGGGGAGCGAACAGGAUUAGAAACCCUUGUAGUCCCACAGAUC
Molecule: ribosomal RNA, 305 nt
Filed under: uncultured bacterium
Lineage: Bacteria
Description: bacterial SSU rRNA
Rfam family: Bacterial small subunit ribosomal RNA
Source: RNAcentral